This is a long non-coding RNA of Orcinus orca (killer whale), 226 nucleotides long. RefSeq lists it as uncharacterized. NCBI's taxonomy places the organism in Eukaryota, Metazoa, Chordata, Mammalia, Artiodactyla, Delphinidae. The transcript has 2 exons. The record is from RefSeq and is a predicted model, not a curated record.
GGCUUCCCUGGUGGCGCAGUGGUUGAGAGUCUGCCUGCCGAUGCAGGGGACGCGGGUUCGUGCCCCGGUCCGGGAAGAUCCCACAUGCCGCGGAGCAGCUGGGCCCGUGAGCCAUGGCCGCUGAGCCUGUGCGUCCGGAGCCUGUGCUCCGCAAUGGGAGAGGCCACAACAGUGAGAGGCCCGCGUACCGCAAAAAAAAAAAAAAAAAAAAAAAAAAAAAUUAGUU